This 253-nucleotide ribosomal RNA is filed under the name uncultured bacterium. RNAcentral's name for it is "partial 16S ribosomal RNA". It matches the Rfam family "Bacterial small subunit ribosomal RNA", at positions 524 to 776 of the family's 1533-position model. The record is from RNAcentral.
UACGUAGGUGGCAAGCGUUGUCCGGAUUUAUUGGGCGUAAAGGGCGCGCAGGCGGUUCGUUAAGUCCGAGGUGAACUCUCCCGGCUCAACUGGGAGAGGUCUUCGGAUACUGGCGGACUGGAGGUGAGCAGAGGUGAGUGGAAUUCUCGGUGUAGCGGUGAAAUGCGCAGAUAUCAGGAAGAACACCUAUGGCGAAGGCAGCUCUCUGGGACGGUACUGACGCUGAGACGCGAAAGCGUGGGGAGCGAACAGG